Molecule: RNase P RNA, 488 nt
Filed under: Acidobacteriota bacterium
Lineage: Bacteria; Pseudomonadati; Acidobacteriota
Description: RNase P RNA component class A
Rfam family: Bacterial RNase P class A
About the family: Ribonuclease P (RNase P) is a ubiquitous endoribonuclease, found in archaea, bacteria and eukarya as well as chloroplasts and mitochondria. Its best characterised activity is the generation of mature 5'-ends of tRNAs by cleaving the 5'-leader elements of precursor-tRNAs.
Source: RNAcentral
AGAGCAGGUCGGGCGGUCGCCGCCAUGUCCGCGAGGGCAUGGGGGAGGAAAGUCCGAACACCGAAGGGCAGCGAGCCAGCUAACGGCUGGGCGCACGGCACGGAAGGGGCCGCGAGAGUGGCUCUCGAAGUCGCCGGGCGACGACAAGUGCAACAGAGAAGAGACCAGCCAGCGGGCCUCGCUUCUAAGGGAGCGCGGCAGCGGGUGAUGGGUGAAACGGUGCGGCCCCACGGGGCUUAAAGUAAGAGCGCACCGGCGCGCGUGGUGACACGCGCGGCCAGGCAAACUCCUCGCGGUGCAAGACCAAAUAGGGAGGCUGUCAGAGAGGGCUGCCCGUCCGAAGUCGCGCAAGCGCAAGUUUGCGCGCUACGCCUCCGGGUAGGUCGCUUGAGCCGUUCGGCGACGAACGGCCUAGAGGAAUGAUCGCCGCCCCGAAACCGUGCGCGGAUUUCGGGGGACAGAAUUCGGCUUACAGACCUGUUCUCGAA